Molecule: long non-coding RNA, 1051 nt
Organism: Galleria mellonella (greater wax moth)
Lineage: Eukaryota; Metazoa; Arthropoda; Insecta; Lepidoptera; Pyralidae
Exons: 4
Source: RefSeq, a predicted model, not a curated record
AUAAGAAACCUCUCGAAAGAUAAAGGAUUUCUUCCGAACAAACAAAACCGCAUAUAAAUAUUCACAUUUUUUUUAAUGCAAAUUAAAAUGACUAACAAGCUGACGGCCUACCUGAUGAAAAGUGGUAACCGUCGCCUAUAGACAUGAGCUGUACCAUGGACAUAACAGCAUAUACUGUUUCGCCCAUGAUACUACCCAUGCUUCCCAUACAUACAUUACAUUAAAUUUUUUUUUAUUUUUUUUUUUUUUACAACACAGGGGACAAACGAGCAUGCGGCUCAUCUGAUGGUAAGUGACUACCGCCGUCCAUGAUUACCCACAACACCAGCGGCAUUGCAAGUGUGCUGCCGGCCUUUUAAAAAGGAAUAUACUCUUUUCUUGAAGGUUAUGUUGACGUAUCGGUUCGGAAAAACUGCUACUGGAAGUUGAUUCCAAAGAAUGGUUGUGCGUGGAAGAAAGUGCCUUGAAAAGCGCACGAUGGAAGACUGCCACUCACAUACGCCACACUUACAACCGUUAACAUUCCACAUCAAAGACAGAAAAGCCAUACACUGUUAUCAAAAAGAUAAGAAGAUCGAUAUAAAAACCGGAAUAUCAAUACAAUAACAAUAGUUAGUGGCAACCCUGUGAACGCCCUCGUUCCCGGUGGUCUGACUGACCGUAACCAUAGACAUCAAUACCGGCGUCUUGCGAGUAUUAAUCAUAAACUAAGGACAAGUGACUCAAACAGACCGACUCUCGUCAUAUCACUAUGUAAAGACAGAGCGAUAUGACACGAGCGAUAGCAACUUUUAUGAGACCUCAACUCCUGAGGAUAAUAAUCUUACUAAUAUAAUAACGUGAAAUAUUUAAGACAAACCGAUAUGAGGUAUUUUAGCUGUUUUUAAAUAUUUAUUUAUUCAUCAUUACAAAUAUGUGUACAUGGCGGACUUAAUGCUAAAAGCAUUCUCCCCCAUUCAACCAUAGGGAAGUGUCAGAAUACUCGAAUGCGGUACUACUAAUUAUUGAUAUACAUACAUACUAAAAUUACAUAUAUAAACGAAUAAAUAUA